Molecule: long non-coding RNA, 190 nt
Organism: Amblyraja radiata (thorny skate)
Lineage: Eukaryota; Metazoa; Chordata; Chondrichthyes; Rajiformes; Rajidae
Exons: 3
Source: RefSeq, a predicted model, not a curated record
CAGACAGCCAUCACAUGGUUCUUGACAGAUCUGGGUCAGGAUUUAGUGGCAUGGAGUCCCAAGACGAUCGGAGACCUUUUUCUGCUGCAGCCAUCAUCCGCUUUCCCAGCGGUUGUGAGGCUCCACUAAAGUGUGACAUCAUCCUCCGCCUGUUCCACCGUUGAGGUCUUGGUUGGACACGCUGACCUCA